ACUAAUGUAAAAAAAAGAAAAUAUAUUUAUUAAUGUUCUUAAGCAAAGUAAAGUAAUGAAAACCAAACAUUUAAGUCAAUCAUUUAGAAACAAAACAUGAUAUGUAAAGACUGAAAACAGCUUACAUAAUAUUGUGCCAUUACAUGUAUAUUCAGCGUUUUAAUGUUGUCACAGACCACUUUCUAUUGUUUUAACUAGUAAAUCCACCUGAUAAUAUUAGUAAUGAUAUUAACAGAGGGAAUUCUUCAGGGUUAGGGGUAGGAAUAGAGGUAGGAAGAAAAAUAAGGUAUGGGGUAGGAAUAGAGGUAUGGUUAGGGGUAGGAAUAGAGGUAGGGUUAGGGGUAGGGAUAGAGGUACGGCUAGGGGUAGGGAUAGAGGUAGGGUUAGGGAUAGGGAUAGAGGUACGGCUAGGGGUAGGGAUAGAUGUAGGGUUAGGGGUAGGAAUAGAGGUAGGGUUAGGGGUAGGGAUAGAGGUAGGGUUAGGGGUAGAGAUAGAGGUACGGUUAGUAGGGAUAGAGGUACGGUUAGGGGUAGGAAUAGAGGUAGGGUUAGGGGUAGGGAUAGAGGUAGGGUUAGGGGUAGGAAUAGAGGUAGGGUUAGGGGUAGGGGUAGGGAUAGGGGUAGGGGUAGGGGUAGGGAUAGGGUUAGGGGUAGGAAUAGAGGUACGGUUAGGGGUAGGGAUAGAGGUAGGGUUAGAGGUAGGACUAGAGAAAAGGUUAUGGGUUGGAAAAGAGAUAAGGUUAGGAGUAGGAAAAGAGGUAGGGUUAGGGGUAGGUAUAAAGAUAAGGUUAGGGGUAGGUAUAAAGAUAAGGUUAGGGGUAGGAAUAGAGGUAAGGAUAGGGGUAGGAAUAGAGGUAGAGUUAGGGGUAGGAAAAGAGACAGGGUUAAG
Molecule: non-coding RNA, 889 nt
Organism: Pelobates cultripes (western spadefoot toad)
Lineage: Eukaryota; Metazoa; Chordata; Amphibia; Anura; Pelobatidae
Source: the annotation of a GenBank genome assembly